RNAcentral lists this ribosomal RNA (725 nucleotides) under uncultured fungus. Its description in RNAcentral is "SSU rRNA". It matches the Rfam family "Eukaryotic small subunit ribosomal RNA", at positions 329 to 1058 of the family's 1831-position model. The record is from RNAcentral. Lineage: Eukaryota; Fungi.
UAGGAUAGAGGCCUACCAUGGUGGUAACGGGUAACGGGGUGUUAGGGCACGACACCGGAGAGGGAGCCUGAGAAACGGCUACCACAUCCAAGGAUGGCAGCAGGCGCGCAAAUUACCCAAUCCCGACACGGGGAGGUAGUGACAAUAAAUAACAAUACGGGGUUCUUUCGGAUCUCGUAAUUGGAAUGAGUACAAUUUAAAUCUCUUAACGAGGAACAAUUGGAGGGCAAGUCUGGUGCCAGCAGCCGCGGUAAUUCCAGCUCCAAUAGCGUAUAUUAAAGUUGUUGCAGUUAAAAAGCUCGUAGUUGAAUUUCGGGGUUAGUAGGUUGGUCAUGCCUCUGGUAUGUACUGGUCUCACUGAUUCCCCCUUCCUGAUGAACCGUAAUGCCAUUAAUUUGGUGUUGCGGGGAAUUUGGACUGUUACUUUGAAAAAAUUAGAGUGUUUAAAGCAAGCUAACGCUUGAAUACAUUAGCAUGGAAUAAUGAAAUAGGACGUUCGAUCCUAUUUUGUUGGUUUCUAGGAUUGACGUAAUGAUUAAUAGGGAUAGUUGGGGGCAUUAGUAUUCAAUUGUCAGAGGUGAAAUUCUUGGAUUUAUUGAAGACUAACUACUGCGAAAGCAUUUGCCAAGGAUGUUUUCAUUAAUCAAGAACGAAAGUUAGGGGAUCGAAGACGAUCAGAUACCGUCGUAGUCUUAACCAUAAACUAUGCCGACUAGGGAUCGGAU